Molecule: ribosomal RNA, 2508 nt
Filed under: Salmonella enterica subsp. enterica
Lineage: Bacteria; Pseudomonadati; Pseudomonadota; Gammaproteobacteria; Enterobacterales; Enterobacteriaceae
Description: partial 23S ribosomal RNA
Rfam family: Bacterial large subunit ribosomal RNA
Source: RNAcentral
GACCAUCCUCCAAGGCUAAAUACUCCUGACUGACCGAUAGUGAACCAGUACCGUGAGGGAAAGGCGAAAAGAACCCCGGCGAGGGGAGUGAAAAAGAACCUGAAACCGUGUACGUACAAGCAGUGGGAGCACCCUUUUGGGUGUGACUGCGUACCUUUUGUAUAAUGGGUCAGCGACUUAUAUUCUGUAGCAAGGUUAACCGAAUAGGGGAGCCGGAGGGAAACCGAGUCUUAAUUGGGCGUUAAGUUGCAGGGUAUAGACCCGAAACCCGGUGAUCUAGCCAUGGGCAGGUUGAAGGUUGGGUAACACUAACUGGAGGACCGAACCGACUAAUGUUGAAAAAUUAGCGGAUGACCUGUGGCUGGGGGUGAAAGGCCAAUCAAACCGGGAGAUAGCUGGUUCUCCCCGAAAGCUAUUUAGGUAGCGCCUCGUGAAUUCAUCUCCGGGGGUAGAGCACUGUUUCGGCUAGGGGGCCAUCCCGGCUUACCAACCCGAUGCAAACUGCGAAUACCGGAGAAUGUUAUCACGGGAGACACACGGCGGGUGCUAACGUCCGUCGUGAAGAGGGAAACAACCCAGACCGCCAGCUAAGGUCCCAAAGUCAUGGUUAAGUGGGAAACGAUGUGGGAAGGCCCAGACAGCCAGGAUGUUGGCUUAGAAGCAGCCAUCAUUUAAAGAAAGCGUAAUAGCUCACUGGUCGAGUCGGCCUGCGCGGAAGAUGUAACGGGGCUAAACCAUGCACCGAAGCUGCGGCAGCGACGCUGAUGCGUUGUUGGGUAGGGGAGCGUUCUGUAAGCCUGCGAAGGUGGCCUGUGAGGGUUGCUGGAGGUAUCAGAAGUGCGAAUGCUGACAUAAGUAACGAUAAAGCGGGUGAAAAGCCCGCUCGCCGGAAGACCAAGGGUUCCUGUCCAACGUUAAUCGGGGCAGGGUGAGUCGACCCCUAAGGCGAGGCCGAAAGGCGUAGUCGAUGGGAAACGGGUUAAUAUUCCCGUACUUGGUGUUACUGCGAAGGGGGGACGGAGAAGGCUAUGUUGGCCGGGCGACGGUUGUCCCGGUUUAAGCGUGUAGGUGUGUGUUCCAGGUAAAUCCGGUUCACUUUAACACUGAGGCGUGAUGACGAGGCACUACGGUGCUGAAGCAACAAAUGCCCUGCUUCCAGGAAAAGCCUCUAAGCAUCAGGUAACAUCAAAUCGUACCCCAAACCGACACAGGUGGUCAGGUAGAGAAUACCAAGGCGCUUGAGAGAACUCGGGUGAAGGAACUAGGCAAAAUGGUGCCGUAACUUCGGGAGAAGGCACGCUGACACGUAGGUGAAGUGAUUUACUCAUGGAGCUGAAGUCAGUCGAAGAUACCAGCUGGCUGCAACUGUUUAUUAAAAACACAGCACUGUGCAAACACGAAAGUGGACGUAUACGGUGUGACGCCUGCCCGGUGCCGGAAGGUUAAUUGAUGGGGUCAGCGCAAGCGAAGCUCCUGAUCGAAGCCCCGGUAAACGGCGGCCGUAACUAUAACGGUCCUAAGGUAGCGAAAUUCCUUGUCGGGUAAGUUCCGACCUGCACGAAUGGCGUAAUGAUGGCCAGGCUGUCUCCACCCGAGACUCAGUGAAAUUGAACUCGCUGUGAAGAUGCAGUGUACCCGCGGCAAGACGGAAAGACCCCGUGAACCUUUACUAUAGCUUGACACUGAACAUUGAGCCUUGAUGUGUAGGAUAGGUGGGAGGCUUUGAAGCGUGGACGCCAGUCUGCGUGGAGCCGACCUUGAAAUACCACCCUUUAAUGUUUGAUGUUCUAACGUGGACCCGUGAUCCGGGUUGCGGACAGUGUCUGGUGGGUAGUUUGACUGGGGCGGUCUCCUCCUAAAGAGUAACGGAGGAGCACGAAGGUUGGCUAAUCCUGGUCGGACAUCAGGAGGUUAGUGCAAUGGCAUAAGCCAGCUUGACUGCGAGCGUGACGGCGCGAGCAGGUGCGAAAGCAGGUCAUAGUGAUCCGGUGGUUCUGAAUGGAAGGGCCAUCGCUCAACGGAUAAAAGGUACUCCGGGGAUAACAGGCUGAUACCGCCCAAGAGUUCAUAUCGACGGCGGUGUUUGGCACCUCGAUGUCGGCUCAUCACAUCCUGGGGCUGAAGUAGGUCCCAAGGGUAUGGCUGUUCGCCAUUUAAAGUGGUACGCGAGCUGGGUUUAGAACGUCGUGAGACAGUUCGGUCCCUAUCUGCCGUGGGCGCUGGAGAACUGAGGGGGGCUGCUCCUAGUACGAGAGGACCGGAGUGGACGCAUCACUGGUGUUCGGGUUGUCAUGCCAAUGGCACUGCCCGGUAGCUAAAUGCGGAAGAGAUAAGUGCUGAAAGCAUCUAAGCACGAAACUUGCCCCGAGAUGAGUUCUCCCUGAGACUUAGAGUCUCCUGAAGGAACGUUGAAGACGACGACGUUGAUAGGCCGGGUGUGUAAGCGCAGCGAUGCGUUGAGCUAACCGGUACUAAUGAACCGUGAGGCUUAACCUUACAACGCCGAAG